This 301-nucleotide ribosomal RNA is filed under the name uncultured bacterium. Its description in RNAcentral is "partial 16S ribosomal RNA". It matches the Rfam family "Bacterial small subunit ribosomal RNA", at positions 509 to 809 of the family's 1533-position model. The record is from RNAcentral.
CAGUCGCCGCGGUAAUACAGAGGGUGCGAGCGUUAAUCGGAUUUACUGGGCGUAAAGCGUGCGUAGGCGGCUAAUUGAGUCGGAUGUGAAAUCCCUGAGCUUAACUUAGGAAUUGCAUUCGAUACUGGGAAGCUAGAGUAUGGGAGAGGAUGGUAGAAUUCCAGGUGUAGCGGUGAAAUGCGUAGAGAUCUGGAGGAAUACCGAUGGCGAAGGCAGCCAUCUGGCCUAAUACUGACGCUGAGGUACGAAAGCAUGGGGAGCAAACAGGAUUAGAUACCCCUGUAGUCCCUGUCUCUUAUAA